UACAGAGGUCCCCGAGCGUUGUUCGGAUUCACUGGGCGUAAAGGGUGCGUAGGUGGUUAGGUAAGUCCGAUGUGAAAUCUCCAGGCUCAACCUGGAAAUGGCAUUGGAUACUAUUUAGCUUGAGGAGUGGAGGGGGGACUGGAAUUCUCGGUGUAGCAGUGAAAUGCGUAGAUAUCGAGAGGAACACCAGUGGCGAAGGCGAGUCCCUGGACACUUCCUGACACUGAGGCACGAAAGCUAGGGGAGCAAACAGG
RNAcentral lists this ribosomal RNA (254 nucleotides) under uncultured bacterium. Its description in RNAcentral is "partial 16S ribosomal RNA". It matches the Rfam family "Bacterial small subunit ribosomal RNA", at positions 524 to 776 of the family's 1533-position model. The record is from RNAcentral.